GUGGUUGUCAGAUACAGCAAGACAAACAGGAGAAACAUAUGUGGAUGAUAACUGGCGUGACAUUACUGUGAAAAAUGCUCCAAGGCAGCUAGACAGUUGCAGCUGUGGAGUCUACUGUUUAAUGUACAUGAGACAAGAAGCAGUCACUAAUA
Corticium candelabrum is the source of this 152-nucleotide long non-coding RNA. RefSeq lists it as uncharacterized. The record is from RefSeq and is a predicted model, not a curated record. NCBI's taxonomy places the organism in Eukaryota, Metazoa, Porifera, Homoscleromorpha, Homosclerophorida, Plakinidae. The transcript has 3 exons.